AACGAACGCUGGCGGCGUGCUUAACACAUGCAAGUCGAGCGGUAAGGCCCUUUCGGGGGUACACGAGCGGCGAACGGGUGAGUAACACGUGGGUGACCUGCCCUCAGCUCUGGGAUAAGCCUGGGAAACUGGGUCUAAUACCGGAUAUGACUCCAUGACGCAUGUUGUGGGGUGGAAAGCCUUGUGCGGCUGAGGAUGGGCCCGCGGCCUAUCAGCUUGUUGGUGGGGUGAGGCCUACCAAGGCGACGACGGGUAGCCGGCCGUGAGAGGGCGACCGGCCACACUGGGACUGAGACACGGCCCAGACUCCUACGGGAGGCAGCAGUGGGGAAUCUUGCGCAAUGGGCGAAAGCCUGACGCAGCGACGCCGCGUGAGGGAUGACGG
Molecule: ribosomal RNA, 385 nt
Filed under: uncultured bacterium
Lineage: Bacteria
Description: bacterial SSU rRNA
Rfam family: Bacterial small subunit ribosomal RNA
Source: RNAcentral